UGAAUAUUCUCAGGCGCUCGAGAGAACGCUGGCGAAGGAACUCGGCAACAUAGCCCCGUAACUUCGGGAUAAGGGGCGCCUCCGGGGGUGUUAAAGCUUCUGGAGGCCGCAGAGAAAUGGGUCUAGCGACUGUUUACUAAAAACACAGGUCUGUGCCAACGCGUAAGCGGAAGUAUACAGACUGACGCCUGCCCGGUGCCGGCAAGUUAAGGAAGAGGGUUAGCCCGUAAGGGUGAAGCUCGCAACCGAAGCUCCGGUAAGCGGCGGCCGUAACUAUGACGGCCCUAAGGUAGCGAAAUUCCUUGUCGGGUAAGUUCCGACCUGCAUGAAUGGCGUAACGACUGGACCACUGUCUCCGCCAGUGACUCGGUGAAACUGUAGUCGUCGUGAAGAUGCGACGUACCCGCGACUAGACGGAAAGACCCCGUGAACCUUUACUGUAGGAUAAUAUUGGGUUUAGGCCCGACAUGCGUAGCGUAGCUGGGAGACUGCGACCGUGGACUUCCGGGUCCAUGCGAGUCGACGAUGAAACACCAGCCUUGUCGUGCUUGAAUUCUAACCCCGACCCGUGAAUCCGGGCGGCGGACAGUGUUAUCUGGGCAGUUUGAUUGGGGCGAUCUCCUCCUAAAGAGUAACGGAGGAGUCCAAAGGUACCCUCAGCCCGGUCGGCAAUCGGGCAUCGAGCGUAAAGGUAUAAGGGUGCUUAACUGCGAGACCGAUGGGUCGAGCAGAUGCGAAAGCAGGGCUUAGUGAUCCGGCGGUUCCGAAUGGAAGGGCCGUCGCUCAACAGAUAAAAGGUACUCCGGGGAUAACAGGCUUAUCUCCUCUGAGCGUUCAUAGCGGCGAGGAGGUUUGGCACCUCGAUGUCGGCUCAUCGCAUCCUGGGGGUGGAGAAGCUCCCAAGGGUUUGGCUGUUCGCCAAUGAAAGCGGUACGUGAGCUGGGUUUAGACCGUCGUGAGACAGGUCGGUCCCUAUCUGUCGUGGGCGAAGGAGACUUGAGCGGUUUUCUCUCUAGUACGAGAGGAUUGAGAGGGACGAACCUCUGGUGUGCCAGUUGUCGCGCUUGCGGCAGCGCUGGGUAGCCAACGUUCGGCCAGGAUAAACGCUGAAGGCAUAUAAGCGUGAAACCCUCCGCAAGAUGAGGUCUCCUGCACUUAGGUGCGAAGGCUCCUGGAAGACCACCAGGUCGAUAGGCCGGAGGUGUGCGAGCAGCAAUGCUUUCAGCCGACCGGUACUAACAGCCGUACGCUUGACCGC
This 1258-nucleotide ribosomal RNA is filed under the name metagenome. RNAcentral's name for it is "bacterial LSU rRNA". It matches the Rfam family "Bacterial large subunit ribosomal RNA", at positions 1673 to 2925 of the family's 2925-position model. The record is from RNAcentral.